This 468-nucleotide ribosomal RNA is filed under the name uncultured bacterium. RNAcentral's name for it is "partial 16S ribosomal RNA". It matches the Rfam family "Bacterial small subunit ribosomal RNA", at positions 28 to 507 of the family's 1533-position model. The record is from RNAcentral.
GACGAACGCUGGCGGCGUGCUUAACACAUGCAAGUCGAACGGAAAGGCCCUGCUUUUGUGGGGUGCUCGAGUGGCGAACGGGUGAGUAACACGUGAGUAACCUGCCCUUGACUUUGGGAUAACUUCAGGAAACUGGGGCUAAUACCGGAUAGGAGCUCCUGCUGCAUGGUGGGGGUUGGAAAGUUUCGGCGGUUGGGGAUGGACUCGCGGCUUAUCAGCUUGUUGGUGGGGUAGUGGCUUACCAAGGCUUUGACGGGUAGCCGGCCUGAGAGGGUGACCGGCCCCAUUGGGACUGAGAUACGGCCCAGACUCCUACGGGAGGCAGCAGUGGGGAAUCUUGCACAAUGGGCCGAAGCCUGAUGCAGCAACGCCGCGUGCGGGAUGACGGCCUUCGGGUUGUAAACCGCUUUCGCCUGUGACGAAGCGUGAGUGACGGUAAUGGGUAAAGAAGCACCGGCUAACUACGUG